RNAcentral lists this transfer RNA (73 nucleotides) under Bos taurus (domestic cattle). It matches the Rfam family "tRNA". From Rfam's summary of the family: Transfer RNA (tRNA) molecules are approximately 80 nucleotides in length. Their secondary structure includes four short double-helical elements and three loops (D, anti-codon, and T loops). RNAcentral also lists the same sequence under 1 other name. Lineage: Eukaryota; Metazoa; Chordata; Mammalia; Artiodactyla; Bovidae. The record is from Rfam by way of RNAcentral.
UCCCUGGUGGGCCAGUGGCUAAGACUCUACGCUCCCAAUGCAGGGGGCCUGGGUUCAAUUCCUGGCCAGGGAA